This 481-nucleotide ribosomal RNA is filed under the name uncultured bacterium. RNAcentral's name for it is "partial 16S ribosomal RNA". It matches the Rfam family "Bacterial small subunit ribosomal RNA", at positions 28 to 523 of the family's 1533-position model. The record is from RNAcentral.
GACGAACGCUGGCGGCGUGCUUAACACAUGCAAGUCGAGCGGUAAGGCCCUUUCGGGGGUAUACGAGCGGCGAACGGGUGAGUAACACGUGAGCAACCUGCCCUUCUCUUUGGAAUAAGCGUUGGAAACGACGUCUAAUGACGAAUAUGACCCCCUGUCGCAUGGUGGGGGGUGGAAAGCUCUGGCGGAGAAGGAUGGGCUCGCGGCCUAUCAGCUUGUUGGUGUGGGUAAUGGCCCACCAAGGCGACGACGGGUAGCCGGCCUGAGAGGGUGACCGGCCACACUGGGACUGAGACGCGGCCCAGACUCCUACGGGAGGCAGCAGUGGGGAAUAUUGGACAAUGGGCGAAAGCCUGAUCCAGCAACGCCGCGUGAGGGAUGACGGCCUUCGGGUUGUAAACCUCUUUCAGCAGGGACGAAGCGAGAGUGACGGUACCUGCAGAAGAAGGACCGGCCAACUACGUGCCAGCCGCCGCCGUAA